GUAAGUUACCUGAUUCACGUCAGUCGCAAAGGAACUAAAGUUAGCUAGCUAUGCCUUCAAUAUGUUGUGCGGUGGGGUGCAACAACAAAAAAGGAGACCCCAAAAUAUUCUUUUACAGGUUACCUCAGGACGAAAAAAGACGCCAUCAACAGGGCAGACUGGACACCAACAGCAAACACUCGUCUGUGCAGUGCUCAUUUUUUCUGUGGUUUGAGAGUCCCACUUUGUUAAAUAUAAUUGAGCAACCAUAGGUGGCGAUAAGCACGCGAGCAGGCAUUGAGGCAAUGGAUGAAGAUGAGCCAGCUAGCUGCGCUGAACGCGAUCAUUGUUGAUGGUUGAGAGGUAAGGUUUUAAACUUCAGUUCAGUGAUACUGAACAAUAACUCUUCUGUGGUGUACGAGGAGAGGAUGUACAAACUGCAAGUAAUGAUGGCGAGCCAACCCAGACUGUGGCUUUCAUCUUUGUUUCAAGUGUUCCUGCAAAGGCGACCUGUUACACAGCGGAUUCUCUGUAAACUGAUACCAAACAGUUGGAGUAUCCGGGAUCUGUUUUUAACUGAACAAGGCAUCGAUUUCUUCCAUUCUUCUACCAAUUUUUUUUUUCUGAACUGGAAAUCUUUUUUCUUCAACAUCUUCCUGAACUGAAUUGAAUUGUAUUCCACGACAAGAACAGAAAUUAAAUGGAAUUUAAGUACCACACAUUAUAAUUGUAUUUUCAUUUCAUGUACAGCAUAAAUUUUGUGUAUUGCUUGUCUGUCUAACAGUAAAGUGCUGACUGACGUCGGAAGUGCUGAGAACACACAUUAUAACUUCCUUCAACUGUCGGUCAUAGCGGGCUUGUGGGCAU
Long non-coding RNA from Cyprinus carpio carpio, 846 nucleotides. The record is from Ensembl. NCBI's taxonomy places the organism in Eukaryota, Metazoa, Chordata, Actinopteri, Cypriniformes, Cyprinidae.